RNAcentral lists this ribosomal RNA (254 nucleotides) under uncultured bacterium. Its description in RNAcentral is "partial 16S ribosomal RNA". It matches the Rfam family "Bacterial small subunit ribosomal RNA", at positions 524 to 776 of the family's 1533-position model. The record is from RNAcentral.
UACGGGGGGAGCAAGCGUUGUUCGGAUUUACUGGGCGUAAAGGGCGCGUAGGCGGCCUCCGCAAGUCAGUUGUGAAAUCUCCGAGCUUAACUCGGAAAGGUCAACUGAUACUGCGGGGCUAGAGUGCGGAAGGGGCAACUGGAAUUCUUGGUGUAGCGGUGAAAUGCGUAGAUAUCUGGAGGAACACCGGUGGCGAAGGCGGCGUUCUGGACUGCAACUGACACUGAGGAACGAAAGCCAGGGGAGCAAACGGG